RNAcentral lists this ribosomal RNA (972 nucleotides) under uncultured bacterium. RNAcentral's name for it is "bacterial SSU rRNA". It matches the Rfam family "Bacterial small subunit ribosomal RNA", at positions 110 to 1099 of the family's 1533-position model. The record is from RNAcentral.
GUAACAUAUAGUUAAUGUACCUUCAAGACUGGGAUAGCCACUGGAAACGGUGAUUAAUACUAGAUAUACCUUCAUAUCAAAAGCUAUGAAGGGAAACGUUUUUUCGCUUGAAGAUCAGACUAUAUCCCAUCAGUUAGUUGGUAGGGUAAUGGCCUACCAAGGCAAUGACGGGUAGCGGGUUUGAGAGGAUGAUCCGCCACACUGGUACUGAGACACGGACCAGACUCCUACGGGAGGCAGCAGUGAGGAAUAUUGCACAAUGGAGGAAACUCUGAUGCAGCAACGCCGCGUGGAGGAUGACGCAUUUCGGUGUGUAAACUCCUUUUAUGAGUCAAGAAAAUGACGGUAGCUCAUGAAUAAGCACCGGCUAACUCCGUGCCAGCAGCCGCGGUAAUACGGAGGGUGCAAGCGUUACUCGGAAUCACUGGGCGUAAAGGACGCGUAGGCGGGAUGCCAAGUCUGAUGUGAAAUCCUAUGGCUUAACCAUAGAACUGCAUUGGAAACUGGUAACCUAGAGUAUGGGAGGGGGAGAUGGAAUUAGUGGUGUAGGGGGUAAAAUCCGUAGAUAUCACUAGGAAUACCGAAAGCGAAGGCGAUCUCCUGGAACAUAACUGACGCUAAGGCGUGAAAGCGUGGGGAGCAAACGGGAUUAGAUACCCCGGUAGUCCACGCCCUAAACGAUGAACACUAGUCGUCGCUCUGCUUGUCAGGGCGGUGAUGCACUUAACAGAUUAAGUGUUCCGCCUGGGGUGUACGGUCGCAAGAUUAAAACUCAAAGGAAUAGACGGGGACCCGCACAAGUGGUGGAGCAUGUGGUUUAAUUCGAAGAUACGCGAAGAACCUUACCUAGCCUUGACAUUGAUAGAAUACCCUAGAGAUAGAGUAGUGCCUUUCGGGGAACUUGAAAACAGUGCUGCACGGCUGUCGUCAGCUCGUGUCGUGAGAUGUUGGGUUAAGUCCCGCAACGAGCGC